RNAcentral lists this long non-coding RNA (730 nucleotides) under Calidris pugnax (ruff). RNAcentral's name for it is "lncRNA (ENSCPUG00000002016.1)". Lineage: Eukaryota; Metazoa; Chordata; Aves; Charadriiformes; Scolopacidae. The record is from RNAcentral.
CUCUUCUAGCGGGUGUUGAAGGUUACAUUUAACAGUGUGACAGCACUAUGUUUUAAGAAGCCCUGAAUGCUACUGGAAGAGGAUGUUACCGAAAAAUAAAAUUCCAAACCAGAUGUUACCUUAAAUGAAGAAUAGAAUCUCCAUAUCGGUUGUUUUGACCAUGUAAACACUGUUCUUCAAAUUUUAUUAAAUUGGAAGUCUCAUUGAUUUUUCCCUCACAGACUGUCCAGAAAGUGCAUCAGAAAAUGAGGGAAACUGAGCCCAGCAUUUCAUGGGUCCCAACAGAGGGACACGUCUUUGUGGCUGUCUGUUAGUCAAUGCAAAGUGACUGAGCCUGACAUUCACACUGAAGGAGCGAUCUGCUUGGACCCCGGGUGCCUUGCUCAGGGGAGUCAAGCCUUCAUGAGAUGGGCAGUGGAGAGCCUGCUCUUCCAGCAGUGCCCAGUUUCAGUGGAUUCCUCCUUUAGCCACGCUUAUCGAACACUUAAGAAGGACAUGUUUUGCAGAGGGCUUGAAAACACAUCUUGAAUGCUCUGUGGAAUAUAUCAUUUUCCUUCACUUUUGCACCUUCCUGAAACUGCAGACUUCAAAGCACACUGACCUGCUCAGGUUUCACUACUUACUGUUUCAUGACUUUACAUGUGGAUUUACCUCCCUUUCCUUAACUAUGAAACGAGAACUCCUUCCAGUCUUAACUCCACAGGAUCUUUACCCCUUUAAAAGAACCUGA